UGCAGAUUAAAAAUACUUGUGUUGGCAGUGGGCAGAGCCAACUAAGGCAGAAGUACAGCUUUUGCUGCUGAUCUAGAGGGAUGAGGCAUUUUGCCCUGCUGAGCCUACCUUGCCCAGGUAGCAGUACACAAAUAGAGGAGGCGAUGCUAUACUGCUCUCUUCAGUCAGAUACUUUCCCAGGCCCACAGGGUUUUUGUGGAGUUUGUUCUCCUCCACAGAGCUGGAUCAAUAGCUCUGAAGUCUCCAGCCCUCUCUUUGUAGCGCUGCUACAGUAACUUUCCCCUUUAACUUGUGCGUGUUGGUAGGCCACAAGGUAGUGAAACACAGCCUCAGUCACUUCUGCCGAGAUGAGUGGGGAGUGUUAGAGGUCAUGGAUAGAGUCACCUCUCUGUUGAGAACUGCCCUGACGUCUCUCUGGGUGAUAAGCAACAAACUGAUUGCAAGAAAUUCCAGGCUUGUGGACAUGGGAUAAACGUGAAUGACAGCCUGAUGUAAAUGCAAACGCUGUAAUACAGCAUUCUUUAUUUUGAAAACUGCCUGGCCAUGAAGAUUUUAGUAUUUUAAUUUUGAUUAUCUUUAUUUAUAGAUACUAAGGAAUUCAGUUGCUUGGAGACCUGCAUCUCGUUAUCUGUGCUGAAAGGCCAGGUGCAAUAGACCCUGACCUCCUUCACUUUCAGCACAGAGGUUUCCGUCUUCUUCCAGCUGCUGUCUUUACUAUCGGGUCACAAACACCUGUUACAAUAGUUUCGUCCAGUAACAAAUCUAAAGUAGCAAGUGCACGUGGGAAGAAAAUGAGAAAGACAGGCUUUGUCUUCCUCCGAUUUGUUGGCUGCUCACCCAUCCCUUAAAAAAAGUCUUGAAUUCCUUUCUGGGGGCAUGUCGAUGUAUGUCAACGGGGGAGCAGAGAAGUCAAAGGCAUCGCUGUAGCAAGCAAGUUCUAAACCUCAAUCAUGUCAUUGAUCCACCCUCAAAUGCCCUUUCCUGCGAGUUCCUCGUGGCAAGAUGCAAGCGUGCAGCCUUGGUAGAUGAAAACGCGUGCAUCUGGAAUGCCUUACUGCUGAGAAUAAGGAGCUAUUUGUAUCCUGUCGAAUGUACAAUCCUGAACCAUCUAAGCUGCUUGUUUAAGGUAUGAUCUAGGGAAAGAAUUUGGCUGGG
Molecule: long non-coding RNA, 1155 nt
Organism: Anser brachyrhynchus (Pink-footed goose)
Lineage: Eukaryota; Metazoa; Chordata; Aves; Anseriformes; Anatidae
Source: Ensembl